This 484-nucleotide ribosomal RNA is filed under the name uncultured bacterium. Its description in RNAcentral is "partial 16S ribosomal RNA". It matches the Rfam family "Bacterial small subunit ribosomal RNA", at positions 29 to 507 of the family's 1533-position model. The record is from RNAcentral.
AUUGAACGCUGGCGGCAUGCUUUACACAUGCAAGUCGAACGGCAGCGCGGGCUUCGGCCUGGCGGCUAGUGGCGCACGGGUGAGUAAUGCAUCGGAACGUGCCCAGUAGUGGUGGAUAGCCCGGCGAAAGCCGGAUUAAUACCGCAUACGACCUGCUGGUGCAACCUGGGGGCCGAAAGGCCUCGCCCUCUUUGAGCGGCCGAGGUCGGGUUUGCUAGUUGGUGGGGUAAAGGCUUACCAAGGCGGCGAUCCGUAGCUGGACUGAGAGGACGACCAGCCACACGGGGAGUGAGACACGGACAAGACGACUACGGGAGGGAGCAGUGGGGAAUGUGGGACAAUGGGGGGAAACAUGGCACAGUGAGGGCGAGUGCGAGAAGAAGGCGUUGGGUGUGGAAACAGGGUCUGUGCGGGAAGAAAUCCUUUGGGCUAAGACCAAGGGGGGAUGACGGUACCGGAAGAAGAAGCACCGGCUAACUACGUG